UACGUAGGGUGCAAGCGUUGCCCGGAUUUAUUGGGCGUAAAGCGCGCGUAGGCGGUUACUUAAGUCGGAUGUGAAAGCCCUCGGCUUAACUGAGGAAGUGCACCCGAAACUGAGUAGCUGGAGUACGAAAGAGGGUCGCGGAAUUCCCGGUGUAGAGGUGAAAUUCGUAGAUAUCGGGAGGAACACCGGUGGCGAAGGCGGCGACCUGGGUCGAGACUGACGCUGAGGCGCGAAAGCGUGGGGAGCAAACAGG
Molecule: ribosomal RNA, 253 nt
Filed under: uncultured bacterium
Lineage: Bacteria
Description: partial 16S ribosomal RNA
Rfam family: Bacterial small subunit ribosomal RNA
Source: RNAcentral